RNAcentral lists this ribosomal RNA (894 nucleotides) under uncultured bacterium. Its description in RNAcentral is "bacterial SSU rRNA". It matches the Rfam family "Bacterial small subunit ribosomal RNA", at positions 8 to 916 of the family's 1533-position model. The record is from RNAcentral.
AGAGUUUGAUCCUGGCUCAGGACGAACGCUGGCGGCGUGCUUAACACAUGCAAGUCGAACGGAAAGGCCCUGCUUGCAGGGUACUCGAGUGGCGAACGGGUGAGUAACACGUGGGUGAUCUGCCCUGCACUUCGGGAUAAGCCUGGGAAACUGGGUCUAAUACCGGAUAGGAGCCAUUUUUAGUGUGAUGGUUGGAAAGUUUUUUCGGUGUAGGAUGAGCUCGCGGCCUAUCAGCUUGUUGGUGGGGUAAUGGCCUACCAAGGCGGCGACGGGUAGCCGGCCUGAGAGGGUGGACGGCCACAUUGGGACUGAGAUACGGCCCAGACUCCUACGGGAGGCAGCAGUGGGGAAUAUUGCACAAUGGGCGCAAGCCUGAUGCAGCGACGCCGCGUGGGGGAUGACGGCCUUCGGGUUGUAAACUCCUUUCGCUAGGGACGAAGCUUUUGUGACGGUACCUAGAUAAGAAGCACCGGCUAACUACGUGCCAGCAGCCGCGGUAAUACGUAGGGUGCGAGCGUUGUCCGGAAUUACUGGGCGUAAAGGGCUCGUAGGUGGUUUGUCGCGUCGUCUGUGAAAUUCCGGGGCUUAACUCCGGGCGUGCAGGCGAUACGGGCAUAACUUGAGUACUGUAGGGGUAACUGGAAUUCCUGGUGUAGCGGUGAAAUGCGCAGAUAUCAGGAGGAACACCGAUGGCGAAAGCAGGUUACUGGGCAGUUACUGACGCUGAGGAGCGAAAGCAUGGGUAGCGAACAGGAUUAGAUACCCUGGUAGUCCAUGCCGUAAACGGUGGGGCGCUAGGUGUGAGGGUCUUUUCACGACUUUCGUGCCGUAGCUAACGCAUUAAGCGCCCCGCCUGGGGAGUACGGCCGCAAGCUAAAACUCAAGAAUUGACGG